This 79-nucleotide small nuclear RNA is filed under the name Homo sapiens (human). RNAcentral's name for it is "partial ncRNA". The record is from RNAcentral. Lineage: Eukaryota; Metazoa; Chordata; Mammalia; Primates; Hominidae.
AGAGAAUCACUUGAACCUGGGAGGCAGAGGUUGCAGUGAGCCAAGAUCACACCACUGUACUGCAGCCUGGGCAACAAGU